UACAGAGGGUGCGAGCGUUAAUCGGAGUGACUGGGCGUAAAGGGCGCGUAGGCGGUUAGAUUAGUCUGAUGUGAAAGACCUGGGCUUAACCUGGGAUGUGCAUUGGAAACGGUCUAGCUAGAGUUUGAGAGAGGGAAGUGGAAUUUCCGGUGUAGCGGUGAAAUGCGUAGAGAUCGGGAAGAACACCAAUGGCGAAGGCAGCUCGCUGGGACGUUACUGACGCUGAGACGCGAAAGCGUGGGGAGCAAACAGG
This 253-nucleotide ribosomal RNA is filed under the name uncultured bacterium. RNAcentral's name for it is "partial 16S ribosomal RNA". It matches the Rfam family "Bacterial small subunit ribosomal RNA", at positions 524 to 776 of the family's 1533-position model. The record is from RNAcentral.